Molecule: ribosomal RNA, 497 nt
Filed under: uncultured bacterium
Lineage: Bacteria
Description: partial 16S ribosomal RNA
Rfam family: Bacterial small subunit ribosomal RNA
Source: RNAcentral
GAUGAACGCUGGCGGCGUGCCUAAUACAUGCAAGUCGAGCGAACGGACGAGAAGCUUGCUUCUCUGAUGUUAGCGGCGGACGGGUGAGUAACACGUGGAUAACCUACCUAUAAGACUGGGAUAACUUCGGGAAACCGGAGCUAAUACCGGAUGAUAUUUUGAACCGCAUGGUUCAAAAGUGAAAGACGGUCUUGCUGUCACUUAUAGAUGGAUCCGCGCUGCAUUAGCUAGUUGGUAAGGUAACGGCUUACCAAGGCAACGAUGCAUAGCCGACCUGAGAGGGGGAUCGGCCACACUGGAACUGAGACACGGUCCAGACUCCUACGGGAGGCAGCAGUAGGGAAUCGUCCGCAAUGGGCGAAAGCCUGACGGAGCAACGCCGCGUGAGUGAUGAAGGUCUUCGGAUCGUAAAACUCUGUUAUUAGGGAAGAACAUAUGUGUAAGUAACUGUGCACAUCUUGACGGUACCUAAUCAGAAAGCCACGGCUAACUACGUG